Molecule: non-coding RNA, 282 nt
Organism: Schizosaccharomyces pombe (fission yeast)
Lineage: Eukaryota; Fungi; Ascomycota; Schizosaccharomycetes; Schizosaccharomycetales; Schizosaccharomycetaceae
Source: the annotation of a GenBank genome assembly
UUUUCUUCGCUCUUUUUACUAUAAAUAGAGGGCAUGAACCCUUUAGAAUAAUUUGAAAGUUGCACCCAUCGAAUUUGAUUCAGUCUGAGUCUCUUUUAUAAGUUACAUUGAUUGCCGAAUUGAAUACGAUGGGGAGAAAAAAACUCCUUUCUUAAAGUGUAUUUCAGAUUCUUUUUUCCUUUGAAAUGCCCCGUGGAAAGGAAAAAUAUCUAUUUUUCUUUAAAAAUUAAUUAAUCAACUUUGUUAAAAAUGAUCCACUCAGAGAAGUAGAACUUUGUUGUA